RNAcentral lists this ribosomal RNA (429 nucleotides) under Bacteroidota bacterium. RNAcentral describes it as "Bacteroidetes bacterium partial 16S ribosomal RNA". It matches the Rfam family "Bacterial small subunit ribosomal RNA", at positions 355 to 776 of the family's 1533-position model. The record is from RNAcentral. Lineage: Bacteria; Pseudomonadati; Bacteroidota.
UAGGGAAUCUUCCGCAAUGGACGCAAGUCUGACGGAGCAACGCCGCGUGAGUGAAGAAGGAUUUCGGUUCGUAAAACUCUGUUGUUAGAGAAGAACAGCGCAUAGAGUAACUGUUAUGCGUGUGACGGUAUCUAACCAGAAAGCCACGGCUAACUACGUGUCAGCAGCCGCGGUAAUACGUAGGUGGCAAGCGUUGUCCGGAUUUAUUGGGCGUAAAGCGAGCGCAGGCGGUCAAUUAAGUCUGAUGUGAAAGCCCCCGGCUCAACCGGGGAGGGUCAUUGGAAACUGGUUGACUUGAGUGCAGAAGAGGAGAGUGGAAUUCCAUGUGUAGCGGUGAAAUGCGUAGAUAUAUGGAGGAACACCGGUGGCGAAAGCGGCUCUCUGGUCUGUAACUGACGCUGAGGCUCGAAAGCGUGGGGAGCGAACAGG